AUUCAACAGUGGAAACACACUCCACCAUUGGCGGAAGAAGAUGGUCAGAGAAAGAACCAGAUGGAGCUAUUCUACAGGAAGUACUCACUGACCAUAAGAGUAGGAUGAAGAAGCGCUUCGAGUGCAUAUUUGAAGGUAUU
Clupea harengus (Atlantic herring) is the source of this 140-nucleotide long non-coding RNA. RefSeq lists it as uncharacterized. The transcript has 3 exons. Lineage: Eukaryota; Metazoa; Chordata; Actinopteri; Clupeiformes; Clupeidae. The record is from RefSeq and is a predicted model, not a curated record.